Molecule: non-coding RNA, 32 nt
Filed under: Homo sapiens (human)
Lineage: Eukaryota; Metazoa; Chordata; Mammalia; Primates; Hominidae
Source: RNAcentral
UGGGAACCAAGCAAUCUGAAGGGAGCUUCAGC